Macaca mulatta (Rhesus monkey) is the source of this 729-nucleotide non-coding RNA. The record is from RefSeq and is a predicted model, not a curated record. NCBI's taxonomy places the organism in Eukaryota, Metazoa, Chordata, Mammalia, Primates, Cercopithecidae.
GAGACUUGCUGGGAAGAACAGCAGCCUGGCCCUGCUACCCCCUGGCUUCUGCUCACAGCACUGACCCCAGCUAAUCCAAGAACAUGUCACCUAUAAUGAGAAUAUUGAAGAAAAAUCAACCAUCUUUCAGAUGUGUCUAUAUCAUGGUACGGUUCAUGGGUAAGAAACUAACUGAAUUCCAGUGGGUGCACCUGGCAAAUGCAAACGUGGUUUUCCGUUCAGGAUGCUGGUCUUACCUGUGAAGGCGUUCAUGAACGUGGAGAGGGACCGGUUCAACAUUUUGAAGAAAGGGUCUCUGCACGGAUAUUUCCGAGACCCACAAAGGAUGGUAUGCUCAAGAAUGUGAGGAACACCGGUACUGUCCAUGGGAGUGGUGCCGAACUGCACGCUAGGGAAGAAGGAACGGCAUGCCAGGGAAGGGGUAGGAAUAAGGAACAGAAGGCCAGGGACGGGGAGGAACAGAACGCUAGGGAAGGAGAAUGACUAGAAUACAAAACGUUCAUCUUAGUGCUGCGGACACAGUUCCCAGAUGCAUCAUCACCUCAGGCUACUAGAAAUUAUCAUUCUGACACCACAAUUCUCCAACACAGGGUCUCCCAACUCUAAUGUAAAUCAUUGAUUCCGACUAUAACAUUGUAUUUUGAUGAGAUUGUAAGUCCGUGUAAGCUUUUCCUUAUUUUUCAAGAUGCUCUGUCAAUAAAAAUACUAGUGAGAUGAUAUUUAAACCAC